Molecule: ribosomal RNA, 498 nt
Filed under: uncultured bacterium
Lineage: Bacteria
Description: partial 16S ribosomal RNA
Rfam family: Bacterial small subunit ribosomal RNA
Source: RNAcentral
GGAUGAACGCUGGCGGCGUGCCUAAUACAUGCACGUCGAGCGAACAGAUAAGGAGCUUGCUCCUUUGACGUUAGCGGCGGACGGGUGAGUUACACGUGGAUAACCUACCUAUAAGACUGGGAUAACUUCGGGAAACCGGAGCUAAUACCGGAUAACAUAUUGAACCGCAUGGUUCAAUAGUGAAAGGCGGCUUUGCUGUCACUUAUAGAUGGAUCCGCGCCGUAUUAGCUAGUUGGUAAGGUAACGGCUUACCAAGGCAACGAUACGUAGCCGACCUGAGAGGGUGAUCGGCCACACUGGAACUGAGACACGGUCCAGACUCCUACGGGAGGCAGCAGUAGGGAAUCUUCCGCAAUGGGCGAAAGCCUGACGGAGCAACGCCGCGUGAGUGAUGAAGGUCUUCGGAUCGUAAAACUCUGUUAUCAGGGAAGAACAAAUGUGUAAGUAACUGUGCACAUCUUGACGGUACCUGAUCAGAAAGCCACGGCUAACUACGUG